RNAcentral lists this ribosomal RNA (253 nucleotides) under uncultured bacterium. Its description in RNAcentral is "partial 16S ribosomal RNA". It matches the Rfam family "Bacterial small subunit ribosomal RNA", at positions 524 to 776 of the family's 1533-position model. The record is from RNAcentral.
UACGGAGGGAGCUAGCGUUGUUCGGAAUUACUGGGCGUAAAGCGCACGUAGGCGGCUUUGUAAGUUAGAGGUGAAAGCCCGGGGCUCAACUCCGGAACUGCCUUUAAGACUGCAUCGCUUGAAUCCAGGAGAGGUGAGUGGAAUUCCGAGUGUAGAGGUGAAAUUCGUAGAUAUUAGGAAGAACACCGGUGGCGAAGGCGGCCCACUGGAUCGGUACUGACGCUGAGGUGCGAAAGCGUGGGGAGCGAACAGG